This 483-nucleotide ribosomal RNA is filed under the name uncultured bacterium. Its description in RNAcentral is "bacterial SSU rRNA". It matches the Rfam family "Bacterial small subunit ribosomal RNA", at positions 29 to 524 of the family's 1533-position model. The record is from RNAcentral.
AACGAACGCUGGCGGCGCGUCUUAAACAUGCAAGUCGAACGAUCUGUAGCAAUACAGGGAGUGGCGGACGGGUGAGGAACACGUAGGAAUCUACCUAGAAGAGCGGGACAACUUUGGGAAACCGGGGCUAAUACCGCAUAGUACAGAGAUGUUAAAGGGCUAGCAAUAGUCGCUUCUAGUUGAGCCUGCGGUCUAUCAGCUUGUUGGUGAGGUAAUGGCUCACCAAGGCAGCGACGGAUAGCCGGUCUGAGAGGAUGAUCGGCCACACUGGCACUGAGACACGGGCCAGACUCCUACGGGAGGCAGCAGUUAAGAAUCUUGCGCAAUGGGGGAAACCCUGACGCAGCGACGCCGCGUGAAGGAUGAAGGCUUUCGGGUUGUAAACUUCGGUAGACUGGGAAGAAGAACUACGUUCGUUGAGGGCGUAGAGCGACGGUACCAGUCUGAAGCCCCGGCUAAUUACGUGCCAGCAGCCGCGGUAAU